Molecule: ribosomal RNA, 246 nt
Filed under: uncultured bacterium
Lineage: Bacteria
Description: partial 16S ribosomal RNA
Rfam family: Bacterial small subunit ribosomal RNA
Source: RNAcentral
UGGGUAACCUGCCUCAAAGAGGGGAAUAGCCUCCCGAAAGGGAGAUUAAUACCGCAUAAUAUGUUUAGGUCGCAUGACUUUAACAUCAAAGGAUUUUCUUUUAGAAAUUCCACUUUGAGAUGGACCCCGCGGCGCAUUAGCUAGUUGGUGAGGUAACGGCUCACCAAGGCAACGAUGCGUAGCCGACCUGAGAGGGUGAUCGGCCACAUUGGAACUGAGACACGGCCAGACCUCCCGUAGGGACGG